GCAGCCGUAGCUCAAUGGUAGAGCACCCCCCUCACACGGGGUAGGUUCCAGGUUCAAGUCCUGGCGGCUGCA
Non-coding RNA from Candidatus Roizmanbacteria bacterium, 72 nucleotides. The record is from Rfam. Lineage: Bacteria; Candidatus Roizmaniibacteriota.